CGAACGGGGGAAUAACCCAUUAGUAGCUUUACAAACUACUGCCUUAAUCAGCCACCCGUUC
RNAcentral lists this transfer RNA (61 nucleotides) under Acanthosaura capra. RNAcentral describes it as "tRNA-Tyr". Lineage: Eukaryota; Metazoa; Chordata; Lepidosauria; Squamata; Agamidae. The record is from RNAcentral.